Molecule: ribosomal RNA, 491 nt
Filed under: uncultured bacterium
Lineage: Bacteria
Description: partial 16S ribosomal RNA
Rfam family: Bacterial small subunit ribosomal RNA
Source: RNAcentral
GAUGAACGCUGGCUACAGGCUUAACACAUGCAAGUCGAGGGGAAACGACGGGGAAGCUUGCUUCCCCGGGCGUCGACCGGCGCACGGGUGAGUAACGCGUAUCCAACCUGCCUCUGACUGAGGGAUAACCCGUCGAAAGUCGGCCUAAUACCUCAUGGCAUCGUCUGCGGGCAUCCAACGACGAUUAAAGAUUUCAUCGGUCAGAGAUGGGGAUGCGUCUGAUUAGCUUGUUGGCGGGGUAACGGCCCACCAAGGCGACGAUCAGUAGGGGUUCUGAGAGGAAGGGCCCCCACAUGGGAACUGAGACACGGUCGAAAGUCAUACGGGAGGCAGCAGUGAGGAAGAUUGGUCAAGGGGCGAGAGCCUGAACCAGCCAAGUAGCGUGCAGGAUGACGGCCCUAUGGGUUGUAAACUGCUUUUAGGCGGGGAUAAAGUGAGGGACGUGUCCUUCAUUGCAGGUACCGCAUGAAUAAGGACCGGCUAAUUCCGUG